AAAUGUAAAGUCACUUGCAGGAGAAUUAGAACAUGGAAUUUGCUCUUCUGCCUAAACAUCGAAUCAGACAACUUUUAAGACAAAGGCUAUGAAUUGGAUAUCACUAGUAGGCCUGUUCGUCCCCAAUUCUGUAUGGGCCGGCCUCCAUGUAUGGCUCCAGCGGGCGGGUUCAUAACAACUGUGGCUGCAAGAUGGGGAAACUGAGGCUCUGAGGAAACGGGAAAAUGGCCAGAGGAAGGGACAGUGAAGAUCUUUUGCCAUAAUGUCACCCUAUAAACAUUUUGAAGGGAUUCCAUUGAUGUAAAGCAUAAAUACAUUCCCUGUUGGAAAGGACAGGAGCAGUGUUUUCUGACUAUAAGGAGGGUUUGUUGGAGCUACCGGCAUGUGGAAGCAAUUUCAGGAACAACGUUGCCAGGAGGUUCUGGCAGAGAGAAUUCAAACAACUGCCAUAGGAAGUGGUUUCGAGCCUUCACAGGACACACAUGUUAAAGUGCCACAGUGGAACCUUGUCCUGGGAUUUCAACCUAUCCAAGGAUGUUCUCCCUAUCCAUCGGGAUUGCAGGAUACCGUGAGACCAAAGCCUUUGCAACAUGUGCUUUUUCUUACACUAAUACAGGUAGUUAAGAGCAAGCCAGUUCAAUCAAAACAAGGUGUAUUUCUUUUUCUCUUUUCUUUGGUCAGGAUAAGCUCUUGUUUCUGGCUUCAGAGAGCUGCAGGAAAAUAGGAACGUUCUUGAUUCAAAUUUCUCCAGUUGGUAUCUGAGAGAAGGAGCUUAGUUGAG
Molecule: long non-coding RNA, 781 nt
Filed under: Equus asinus (donkey)
Lineage: Eukaryota; Metazoa; Chordata; Mammalia; Perissodactyla; Equidae
Description: lncRNA (ENSEASG00005026462.1)
Source: RNAcentral